Non-coding RNA from Gossypium hirsutum (cotton), 146 nucleotides. Lineage: Eukaryota; Viridiplantae; Streptophyta; Magnoliopsida; Malvales; Malvaceae. The record is from Rfam.
UAUUAAAAAUUUCAUCUAUUUCUAUUGUUAAAAAUUGAUGUAGCUGAUUGAAUAACUAGACAGUUUACACAUGACAUGUCAUGUGUACCUCGUGCUGAGGUACAAGGACCAGUUUUUAACAGUUAAAAUGGAUGAAAUUUUUAAUA